Molecule: RNA transcript, 2692 nt
Organism: Brassica napus (rape)
Lineage: Eukaryota; Viridiplantae; Streptophyta; Magnoliopsida; Brassicales; Brassicaceae
Exons: 6
Source: RefSeq, a predicted model, not a curated record
GUUAAAAUUUUACGUGUCUUUAUAAAUAAAGUAGAUUUUGGUCCUUCCCCAAACGUCCAUGUCAUCACGUAGGGAAUGACGUUUUGUGCCACGAGGCACUUCAGUAAACCAGUUCGCGUGUGUAGUGAUUCCGGUUUGUCUAUGCAUCUAUUCUGAACUGGACUAUUCGAAAACAUUAUGAGAAGCCUACUAUGCUUAUAUGUUUCUUCUUCCUCUUCACGAUUGCGACGGCCGACGAAAUUUUCAGAACUAAAGCGCCUUUCCAUCUCUCCAGUAACGUCUCAACCUUUCUUUAAUCCGUUCUUAACUCCUCCGAGUUUUAACGUGAUUAGCCCACUCCUCCCACUGAGAAGCAUUCAAUCGACCCCUUCGUAUCCCCGUAACUGGCUGAAUCUUCGGAUAUAAAUCUUUACUCUCAAGGAUGGACAUCACAAGUCAAACGAUAUCCUGAUGAAAAGCCACGCUUAUGCAAGGAUCUGUUUCUGUGCUUCGACAACUCAGGUUACGAGAACGUCUCACCUAAGGCUCUGUCUACAGGCUAAGCGGAUUCGAUGUGACACGCAGCAACCCCAAAUUUGGUUAUCGGAUGUGCCCCUCUCCAUACGGUUCAAUGAAAGAACUUCUUUUGAAAAGCUACCAACGACCGUUAGGACCAUACCUACGGAAAUGUUCCGAUUCCGACCAUACGACCAGUUAGUUGAGCUAGCUAACACCGGCAAACAACUCCCUGACAAAAUGGGGGAGCUUAGUGCAAUUAGGAGCACAAUAACCGACCGUAUACCAAAGGCACAACGUGUAAUGCUAACUUUGUGUCUUGAAAGGGAUGCAAACUUUUGUGUAAGAUUGUUUGACUCUUUGGCUCUUGCAUUCCAUAGCAAAUUCGAUAGCUAUGGGAGAGAGCCAAGAAUUAUUCUUGUCACCAGUGUCAAUCCUAAAAUAGUUGCGGCAGGAAGGUGCACAUGUUCCUCAACCAGCGGUUCCUGAAGCUGUGGCACUGGGAUCAGAUGCCAGCAAUGCAAUAACUUGCAAUGUUGCAGACCAAGCCACUACAGCUGAUGAUUCACUUCCCGGACGUUUACCAAGAGAGAAAGAACAAGUUCCUCUGGAAGAGAAUGCCCCGAAGAAAGCACGUGUGGAAUGAGUCCUUGUUGGAACCUGAUUCAGGCUAUCCAUCUCUGAUUUCUCUACCAUCUAGAUUUCCAGAAGGCAUGGUGAAGUCGCCAGUUGACCUGACAGGCAAAGCAGUUACAGCAAGUUCCCGGAGAAGACAAAGUGUUACUGAACUGUCGACAGCAUCAUCAUCAUCAUCAUCAAAGAAGCCGAAAAAUAUGGUUAGUCCUAACCACACUAUAAUUUUCACAUAUUUACAAUAUUAAAACUUCAUCCUGUCCUUUAAUCUUUGUUUCUUCAUGACAUGGACAGAGCAUGCUCUGCGAAUAUUUUUAUUAAUUUAAGAGGAUGAAAGAAUUUGUUGGCGUCAAUCACAAAACAAAUACAUGAAUUUACGUGUUUCUUUUAGAACAUCAACUUUACUUUAUAUUUUAAGUUAAACUAUAUUUACUUUGGUGUAACUAUCAGCUAUUUAUUUUGUUUUUACUGCAUUAAUCUAUAUGAAAACCAUUUACUCUAGUUCUCUUUCGCCUAAUCAACUACAAAACAAAGUAAUACACUAUUAUCACUAACCACUAUUAAAUGGACCAAAAAAACCGUUUCAACUCAUUAGAUAACAAAAUAUACGAACCUACCACUAGUUUUCUUAAUAAGUGUGAAAACUCUAGAAUAUAUAUUAUUUUGAAAUGGAAGGAGUAUAUAUAUAAUUUGAUUUGUAUAAAUAUUUGAAACAUACAUUUACAAUAAAUACUUAGUCAGAACACAAAUUAUGAGUUUUUAUUUAUUUAUAAACGAGUACGGAUAAAAAAAUAAAAAAGAGACAUAAAAGAUGCUUUACAUAGACAGUGUUGUUUCUGUUAUCUUAUAUUCAAGUUCAUCUUUUUAUUUCACUAAUCUCUUAACUAGAGCUUCUUCCGUGCACCGCCUGAAUUUUGAUUUUUACUUUUUUUUUAAUUUUUAUGACAUUUCUAAACAUAUAAAUUAUUUAGAUAGUUUUAGAUUUCUACACAUUAGAAUUAAAUCUAUCCAAAUCCGGAGAACUAUAUUCGAAGCACAAAAAAAAUUUAUAAUAUCUGGAUUGAGUCUAAUUUCAAAACCCAAAAAAUUGAUACCCAAAAAACCAACGUGUAUUCAAACGGAGACUCGAAAAUCCAUUCCUAACUGAUUUGUAAAUAAAUAAAUAAAGUAUUUGUUAACCAUUUUGGGUUCUUGUCACAAAUGGCGCAACUUCAUUUAAAUAUGUCGAAUUCUUGUGGUUAACAUUUAAAAUAAAUGUUGUCAAAUUAUUUUGACAAAGACAAUUAAUAUAAUAGUUUAGAAGAGUGAACAAAUAAAUGUAAAAGAUGUGAUAAAACAUUUAAAAUAUUUAAAUUAUGUUGUGUACUUUGUAAUAAAUGUUGUCGAAUUAUUUAGAAAAUGCAAUAAAUAAAGUGAUUAGAAUUAGUUAAAAACUGUUAACCUGUAAAAACCACUUAAAAUAAGCAAUUUUUUAUUACUUCAGUUUUAAUAGAAUAAAGUUGUCUUUUUUUGCGUUCAUUUACAUUACUCCAUUUGUUUCAUUUUAAUUAUUAUUUUAGGUUUA